RNAcentral lists this ribosomal RNA (268 nucleotides) under uncultured bacterium. RNAcentral's name for it is "partial 16S ribosomal RNA". It matches the Rfam family "Bacterial small subunit ribosomal RNA", at positions 43 to 339 of the family's 1533-position model. The record is from RNAcentral.
CGUGCCUAACGCAUGCAAGUCGCACGGAGCGAAAGCUCAGUGGCGGACGGGUGAGUAACACGUAGGAACCUGCCCAGAAGUGGGGGAUAACUCCUCGAAAGAGGAGCUAAUACCGCAUACGGUCCACGGACCAAAGCAGCAAUGCGCUUCUGGAGGGGCCUGCGGCGGAUUAGCUAGUUGGUGGGGUAACGGCCUACCAAGGCAACGAUCCGUAUCUGGUCUGAGAGGACGGCCAGACACACUGGGACUGAGAUACGGCCCAGACUCC